AAUGAACUAUAAAUUAAUUUAUUCUGACUACAGAAAUUGCUCCAUUUUUCGUAUACUAACCAUACCAGGAGGAAAUGCUUGCAUGGUCCUCCUCACGACUACUUCUGUGAGAAGUGGAAUGCCCAAAUAUUGUGAAUCUAUGUUUAAUAACUCAUGUGCAAAAUAUCAUGAGCUCGACAAAAUAUUUGAAGAUAGCUGCAACACAACUAUAGAGGGAGAUGAGUGUUCUGUUUAUUCUGCAGCAAUGAGCGAUAUAGAGCGCUGA
RNAcentral lists this long non-coding RNA (265 nucleotides) under Dermacentor andersoni. RNAcentral's name for it is "uncharacterized LOC126544082". Lineage: Eukaryota; Metazoa; Arthropoda; Arachnida; Ixodida; Ixodidae. The record is from RNAcentral.